CAUGGGCGGUUCGCGGUUGCUUGCCGGCCGCUUAUGGUUUCAGCGUGAAACAUCGAAGGUCGCUUAGCAUCACGUGACACGGUAGGGCGUCCGCAGGAAGGGCCUCCGUGUAAUAUAAAGCGGUGGAACAGAUGGAUAAAAAAACGUUCCGUCACCGCUUGGCGCCGAUGCAACAAACCGCCGCUACACCUCCGCGCUACGUGCCCGCCAACACCAACGGCUUUGGCCAACAACAGCUCGAAGAACACUCUGGCGACCGAGUCUGAAACGUGGGCCGCGGCGAAGGGUCUCCGCCGGCGCUUAACAAGCAACGUCUGCGAAGCAAGUAAAAAAAUAUAUAUAUGAAAGCUCAAUAAACGAGAAAGACUUUCAAAAA
Molecule: long non-coding RNA, 376 nt
Organism: Dermacentor andersoni
Lineage: Eukaryota; Metazoa; Arthropoda; Arachnida; Ixodida; Ixodidae
Source: RefSeq, a predicted model, not a curated record